AGUAGGGCCUGCCCACUGAAUUUUUGAAGGGCCGCAGUAUCUUAACUGUGCAAAGGUAGCAUAAUCAUUAGUUUUUUAAUUGAAAGCUGGAAUGAAUGGUUUGAUGAGAAAGUGACUGUUUCAAUAUUAAUUUUUUAAAACUUUAUUUUUAAGUUAAAAAGCUUAAAUAUUUUUAAAAGACGAGAAGACCCUAUAGAGUUUAAUUUAAAAUUGAUUUUUAAAUUUAAGAAUUUAAAUUUUUAAUAGUGAAUUUUAAAUUUAAUUGGGGUGAUUAAAAAAUUAAAUUAACUUUUUUAUAUAAAUACAUUGAUAUAUGAAUUGUUGAUCCAUUAAAAUGAUUAAAAGAAU
This 348-nucleotide ribosomal RNA is filed under the name Scymnus accamptus. RNAcentral describes it as "partial 16S ribosomal RNA". Lineage: Eukaryota; Metazoa; Arthropoda; Insecta; Coleoptera; Coccinellidae. The record is from RNAcentral.